This 469-nucleotide ribosomal RNA is filed under the name uncultured bacterium. RNAcentral describes it as "bacterial SSU rRNA". It matches the Rfam family "Bacterial small subunit ribosomal RNA", at positions 329 to 795 of the family's 1533-position model. The record is from RNAcentral.
UCCCAGACUCCUACGGGAGGCAGCAGUGAGGAAUAUUGGUCAAUGGGCUUACGCCUGAACCAGCCAAGUCGCGUGAGGGAAGACUGCCCUAUGGGUUGUAAACCUCUUUUGUCAGGGAGCAACGCCGGCUACGUGUAGCCGGACUGAGAGUACCUGAAGAAAAAGCAUCGGCUAACUCCGUGCCAGCAGCCGCGGUAAUACGGAGGAUGCGAGCGUUAUCCGGAUUUAUUGGGUUUAAAGGGUGCGUAGGCGGAAUGCCAAGUCAGCGGUAAAAUCGCGGGGCUCAACCCCGUACUGCCGUUGAAACUGCAUCCCUUGAGUGCGCGAGAAGUAUGCGGAAUGCGUGGUGUAGCGGUGAAAUGCAUAGAUAUAACGCAGAACUCCGAUUGCGAAGGCGGCAUACCGGCGCGCAACUGACGCUCAUGCACGAAAGCGUGGGUAUCGAACAGGAUUAGAUACCCUCGUAAAC